Molecule: non-coding RNA, 100 nt
Organism: Termitomyces sp. Mi166#008
Lineage: Eukaryota; Fungi; Basidiomycota; Agaricomycetes; Agaricales; Lyophyllaceae
Source: the annotation of a GenBank genome assembly
GGCUGACUAGCUCAGUUGGUUAGAGCGUCGCACCAAUAUUUAUUUGUGAUCUGUGUACAUGUUGACGCGAAGGUCUUGGGUUCGAUUCCCACGUCAGCCA